RNAcentral lists this transfer RNA (85 nucleotides) under Felis catus (domestic cat). It matches the Rfam family "tRNA". From Rfam's summary of the family: Transfer RNA (tRNA) molecules are approximately 80 nucleotides in length. RNAcentral also lists the same sequence under 2 other names. Lineage: Eukaryota; Metazoa; Chordata; Mammalia; Carnivora; Felidae. The record is from Rfam by way of RNAcentral.
GCCUGGGUGGCUCAAUCAGUUAAGCAUCUGACUUUGGUUCAGGUCAUGAUCUCACUGUUCGUGGGUUCAAGCCCCACAUCGGGCU